CGUAAACAAAGGGAAGCGAAGUGGCGACAUGGAGCAAAUCCCAAAAAUAACGUCCCAGUUCGGAUUGUAGUCUGCAACCCGACUACAUGAAGCCGGAAUCGCUAGUAAUCGCGGAUCAGAAUGCCGCGGUGAAUACGUUCCCGGGUCUUGUACACACCGCCCGUCACACCAUGGGAGUUGGAAAUGCCCGAAGUCAGUGGCCCAAACCGGGAAGGGGGGAGCUGCCGAAGGCAGGUUCGAUGACUGGGGUGAAGUCGUAACAAGGUAUC
This 269-nucleotide ribosomal RNA is filed under the name uncultured bacterium. RNAcentral describes it as "partial 16S ribosomal RNA". It matches the Rfam family "Bacterial small subunit ribosomal RNA", at positions 1234 to 1500 of the family's 1533-position model. The record is from RNAcentral.